UACGGAGGGUGCAAGCGUUGUUCGGAAUCAUUGGGCGUAAAGCGCGUGUAGGCGGCUUGGCAAGUCAGUUGUGAAAGCCCGGGGCCCAACCCCGGAACUGCGUCUGAAACUGCUUGGCUGGAGUCCCGGAGAGGAAGGCAGAAUUCCCGGUGUAGGGGUGAAAUCCGUAGAUAUCGGGAGGAAUACCAGCGGCGAAGGCGGCCUUCUGGACGGUGACUGACGCUGAGGCGCGAAAGCGUGGGGAGCGAACAGG
This 253-nucleotide ribosomal RNA is filed under the name uncultured bacterium. RNAcentral's name for it is "partial 16S ribosomal RNA". It matches the Rfam family "Bacterial small subunit ribosomal RNA", at positions 524 to 776 of the family's 1533-position model. The record is from RNAcentral.